CCCCAUUUCAUCCCUCAAUCAAAAAUAAAGAAAGAAAAAGAGAGAAAACUAUCUCAAAUUACUCUCAUCGGGGAAGAAAACAACCUCUCGACGGUGGUGGCCCACGGUGCCCGGAGGAAGUGAAACCCUCCCAAAAGCUCCCUCUCCUCUUCAUUAACUCAUAUUUGAGUCCUGAUCACUGAGAAAACCCCUAGAAGCCUAGAUCUAAGGAUUUACCUUCGGGUAACUCAAACCUCCAACGACUUCUUGGCUUCCUAGUGACCGAUGACAAAGUGGCGAUGAUGGAAAGGAGCGGUCGAAACAGUGGCAGCGAAAUCGACGACAGAAGACGACACUCAUGGCUAACAGCGACGGCGGUUGAAACCUUAGGGUUCAAAAACCCUAAAACAUAUGGGAUAAAGUUUGGGCUAAGUUCAUUUGUAAUUGGGUUGGUUUGAGCCUAGAUCAUUUUGGUCUGUAAAAAAUAUAUAAUAUAAAUUAAUAAUAUAAAUAAUAAUAUUAAAUAUUAA
Long non-coding RNA from Hibiscus syriacus, 509 nucleotides. RefSeq lists it as uncharacterized. NCBI's taxonomy places the organism in Eukaryota, Viridiplantae, Streptophyta, Magnoliopsida, Malvales, Malvaceae. The record is from RefSeq and is a predicted model, not a curated record. The transcript has 2 exons.